RNAcentral lists this ribosomal RNA (253 nucleotides) under uncultured bacterium. RNAcentral's name for it is "partial 16S ribosomal RNA". It matches the Rfam family "Bacterial small subunit ribosomal RNA", at positions 524 to 776 of the family's 1533-position model. The record is from RNAcentral.
UACGUAGGGCGCAAGCGUUGUCCGGAAUUAUUGGGCGUAAAGAGCUCGUAGGCGGUCUGUUACGUCCGCUGUGAAAACCCAGGGCUUAACCCUGGGCUUGCAGUGGAUACGGGCAGACUAGAGGCAGGUAGGGGAGAAUGGAAUUCCCGGUGUAGCGGUGAAAUGCGCAGAUAUCGGGAGGAACACCGGUGGCGAAGGCGGUUCUCUGGGCCUUACCUGACGCUGAGGAGCGAAAGCGUGGGGAGCAAACAGG